GAUGAACGCUGGCGGCGUGCCUAAUACAUGCAAGUCGAGCGAACAGACGAGGAGCUUGCUCCUCUGACGUUAGCGGCGGACGGGUGAGUAACACGUGGAUAACCUACCUAUAAGACUGGGAUAACUUCGGGAAACCGGAGCUAAUACCGGAUAAUAUAUUGAACCGCAUGGUUCAAUAGUGAAAGACGGUUUUGCUGUCACUUAUAGAUGGAUCCGCGCCGCAUUAGCUAGUUGGUAAGGUAACGGCUUACCAAGGCAACGAUGCGUAGCCGACCUGAGAGGCGGGCAGCCCACAUGGGAGAGGGAACCGGGCCCAGACUCCUCGGGGAGGCGGAAGUGGGGAACCUGCGGAAAUGGGGGAGAGUUUGACGGAAAAGCGCGGGGGGGGUGAUAAAGUUCUCGGGUGCGUAAAACUGUGUUUUGGGGGAAAAAAAAAUGUGUAAGUAAAUAUGCACUUCUGGACGGUAAUUAAUAAAAAAGCCACGGCUAACUACGUG
Molecule: ribosomal RNA, 497 nt
Filed under: uncultured bacterium
Lineage: Bacteria
Description: partial 16S ribosomal RNA
Rfam family: Bacterial small subunit ribosomal RNA
Source: RNAcentral